AUGUCAACAACCGGUAGUAGCAGCGGUAGUAAACUCAAGCGAAAGAAUGCAGCAGGCAACCGGACCGACCCAGGUUGGCAGUACGGUGAGGAGAUCGAUGCAAAGGCUAAAACAGUUAAAUGCAAGUUUUGCAAUGAAACUAGAUCUGGUGGCAUAUACAGAUUGAAGCAUCAUUUGGCUGGCACUAAAUUCCAUACCGAGCCUUGUACCAAAGUUCCAACUGAGGUUCGUGAAAAGUUUAUUAAGCUUCUUGGAACCACUGUAGAAACAAAUGAUGCUAAAAGGAGAAAGUUGAUUGCCAUAGAGGAAGAAGAAGCACGUGCCUCAAAGGAUGAAGAGCAGGCAUCACAAAAAUGCAAGCAGAAAGUGAUGGAUCAUUUUGUCACUAGGAAGAGAACUGCUCAAGGAACCAUGCACCAACACUACAAAAAGGAAGAGAGGGAGGAGGUCUGUGCGCAGAUUUGUCGUUUCUUAUACACUAGUGCUAUACCUUUUAAUGUUGUUAGGAACCCUGAGUUCAGCAAGAUGAUUCAUAUGAUAGGUAAGUUUGGUAAUGGACUCAAGCCUCCUACAUAUCAUGAAGCAAGAGUUGUAUUUCUGGAGAAAGAAGUUCAGAAUAUGAUCAAUGUGAUUUCUGAGUACAAAGAAGAGUGGAAAAAAACUGGUUGUACUAUCAUGUCUGAUGGCUGGACAGAUACAAAGAAAAGGUCACUUUGCAAUUUCUUGGUGAACAGCCCAAAAGGUACUGUUUUUUUGACAUCAAUUGACACAUCUGAAAUUAGCAAGACAGCUGAUAAGGUAUUUGACAUGUUAGAUGAGAUAGUAGAGCGGGUCGGAGAGGAAAAUGUUAUCCAAGUUGUUACUGACAAUGCAUCCAACUAUAAAGCAGCUGGUGAUCUCUUAAUAGAAAAGAGAAAAAAGCUCUACUGGACACCUUGUGGUGCACAUUGCAUCGACUUGAUGCUUGAGGAUUUUGAAAAGAAAAUUAAGAUGCAUGCCACUACAAUCACAAAGGGACGUAAAAUCACUGCUUUCAUCUAUUCUAGGACUAUGCUUAUUGCAUGGUUGAGAGAAUUUACAGAAGGAAAGGAUUUGAUAAGGCCUGCUGUCACAAGAUUUGCUACAGCUUACUUGACUCUGUCUUGUCUUGAGCAACAUAAAGGUGCACUGAUCAAUAUGUUUAGUUCAGUUAAAUGGAAGGCUAGCCGCUUUGCUUCUUUAAUAGAUGGUAAAAGAGUUCAAGAUAUUGUCAUGGACAGUAAAGGAUUUUGGCCUAAUGUUGUGGCAUGCUUGAAAGCUGCGAUGCCUCUAAUCAAGGUCCUUAGAAUGGUUGAUUCUGAUGAAAAGCCAGCCAUGCCAUUUAUCUAUGCUCAGAUGGAGCAAGCAAAGGAGAGGAUAAAGGACAAUUUUAACAAAGUGAAGAAAAGACAGAAGAGAAGGGAUGCCAAGGCUGCACUUCAGUUGGAGGAUAUUGAAUCAGAUGAUGAAUGGAUCACAGAAAAAGAGGAUCCAGUGCUUCCUAUAAACCAAGAUUGGUUGCACUCUCUUGAUAGGAUUACUCGAAGGGAAGCACGUGCCGAUGCAGAAGAAAAUACUGACCAUGAAGUUGAGACCAUGGCAAAGAACAUAGAUGAUGCAUGUGGCGAUGAAUUUGGCUUUGGUGGCGACGAGUAUAAUCAUGUAUUUGACUACAAUGAAGACGAAGCUAACGAUGGGUACAACGAGGAUAAAGAAUACGAUGAUGUCCUAGAUGGAGAUGAUGGUAGCGCACAUCCUUCAACCUCGUACAUGGCCAACAAUAAUGGGGAUGACUUCUAUUAG
Molecule: ribosomal RNA, 1821 nt
Filed under: Triticum aestivum (bread wheat)
Lineage: Eukaryota; Viridiplantae; Streptophyta; Magnoliopsida; Poales; Poaceae
Description: partial small subunit ribosomal RNA
Source: RNAcentral